Molecule: ribosomal RNA, 96 nt
Filed under: Shewanella baltica
Lineage: Bacteria; Pseudomonadati; Pseudomonadota; Gammaproteobacteria; Alteromonadales; Shewanellaceae
Description: partial 16S ribosomal RNA
Rfam family: Bacterial small subunit ribosomal RNA
Source: RNAcentral
ACUUUAAUUGAAGAGUUUGAUCAUGGCUCAGAUUGAACGCUGGCGGCAGGCCUAACACAUGCAAGUCGAGCGGCAGCGGGAAGAUAGCUUGCUAUC